UCUCCUCCAUCUCUGCAGCCUUUCUCCUCGCCUCUGCCCUUAGCUGCCUUUCUCCUCCAUCUCCGCCCUUGCCUCCGCCCCCGAGCUGCCCUAGCCCGCCACAACAUGGUUUGCAGCUUCCCAUCGGGCGUCCUCGAGCACAGGCCGUCUUCCAGCGGCUCCUACGCAGCGUCGUUCAGCAAGGCAGGGUGACCAUUGCAUUCCAGGUUUGUGGCAUCAAAGCUAGCAACUGACAUAAUUGUAGUUGUCGAAGAAGUGAAAUUUCAUUUGCACAAGUGAUCAAACGUGCAAUCGGUGCAUCCUCUGUCAGGCCUUUGAUGAGAUUAGCAGCUUCAUGUUUUAACAUUGAAUGAAUGUCGCCGGCAUCCUUUCCCCCCAGAAUUUGGCGUCAAGGAAUCAUGCGUUCCUACUAAUUUUGAAUGGUAGAUAAACAACAGCUCUUGGCCACACAGAUCAUCUGAGUUUGACAAAUCUCUACAUUUCAAAUACUACGUGAGUCUGUGAUUGUAGCUGCUACAGAAGAAUGCGUAACCUAUAGCCUAUACGCAAUGCCCAAGAGCAAGAGAAAGAGCGAAAGAGGAAACAGACAACCUUGGUUGCUUACCAUUUGUCGUCAUGAAGGUGGAGCAUUUUCUUUGGUGCUUUAUUGAAGAACAGAAGAGCAAGGAGAAAAAAAAAGAAGGAAAUUGUAAUGUUGCGUACUAUUGUCUCUAUGUGUCUCAAUCACA
Nymphaea colorata (pocket water lily) is the source of this 728-nucleotide long non-coding RNA. RefSeq lists it as uncharacterized. Lineage: Eukaryota; Viridiplantae; Streptophyta; Magnoliopsida; Nymphaeales; Nymphaeaceae. The transcript has 3 exons. The record is from RefSeq and is a predicted model, not a curated record.